GAUGAAGAACGCAGCGAAAUGCGAUAAGUAAUGUGAAUUGCAGAAUUCAGUGAAUCAUCGAAUCUUUGAACGCACCUUGCGCUCCUUGGUAUUCCGAGGAGCAUGCCUGUUUGAGUGUCAUUAAUAUAUCAACCUCUUCAGCUUAUGCUUGUUGAGUGUUGGAUGGUGGGGGUUUGCUGGUGUCUUAUGAAGUCAGCUCCUCUGAAAUGCAUUAGCGGAACAAUUUGUUGACCGUUCAUUGGUGGGAUAAAAAUAUCUACGCUAUUGACGUCAGUCAGUUCAGCUUCUAACAGUCCAUUGACUUGGACAAAUUUUUCAUUAAUGUGACCUCAAAUCAGGUAGGACUACCCGCUGAACUUAAGCAUAUCAAUAAGCGGAGGA
Molecule: unclassified non-coding RNA, 381 nt
Filed under: soil metagenome
Description: partial contains 5.8S ribosomal RNA, internal transcribed spacer 2, and large subunit ribosomal RNA
Rfam family: 5.8S ribosomal RNA (bases 1-120)
Source: RNAcentral